Molecule: unclassified non-coding RNA, 721 nt
Filed under: Hevea brasiliensis (rubber tree)
Lineage: Eukaryota; Viridiplantae; Streptophyta; Magnoliopsida; Malpighiales; Euphorbiaceae
Source: RNAcentral
AAAAGCUAUGUUAUGAAAAUUAGUAAGCUACUGCUCAAUUUGUACAGUUACAUGACGAAUCUUGUAUGUUUUUUCACAGUAAUCCCUAAUUCUGUUGAGUAUUUCAGUAGAGCUGGCUCCAGGCUCAGCUACUACAUGGCAAGACAACACUAACUUCCCUACUGUGAUAGCCCAAAUAUGCAGGUCAUGAAUAUCUUGUACUCCUUCUAUACACUUUAGACUACUCUCCACCCCGCAAACACUCAUCUGAUGGGGAGUCUUCUCCAUUAGUAUGCUAAAUACGUCCAUAAGCAUGGGUAUGGUUGAGCAUAGAACAAAAGCNNNAGACAAGGGUGCAAAUUAGAUCAACCACCAACCAAUCAGGCUUCACCCAUAUAACUACUCCAGCAAACAUCACCCCAACGGAUUGAAUUAGAUCAGCCAUGACAUGUAGAUAAGCUCCUUGGAUAUUUAUGUUUAAUAUUUUUCUUUUUGCUGGAGAACUUGGUAUCAACUUGGUCCCCUCUUCAUUUACCCCACAUAAAUCCUCACCGUCAUGACUGUGAAUGUGAUCAUGAUUAUGAUCAUGGCAAGCAUGAUGAGAGUGAUCAUGACCCAACCAUAUUACCAUGACUAAGUUAAUGAUGAAUCCAAAGGCUGCAAUUGCAAACAUGAGUCCUCCACUUACCUCUGAAUUUUUGUGAGAAUUCUGUUGAUUGCUUCAUAAAAUAAGAUUCUGGAG